RNAcentral lists this ribosomal RNA (255 nucleotides) under uncultured bacterium. RNAcentral's name for it is "partial 16S ribosomal RNA". It matches the Rfam family "Bacterial small subunit ribosomal RNA", at positions 99 to 354 of the family's 1533-position model. The record is from RNAcentral.
CGGACGGGUGAGUAACGCGUGGAUAACCUGCCGUAUACUGGGGGAUAACACUUAGAAAUAGGUGCUAAUACCGCAUAAGCGCACAGUCUCGCAUGAGACGGUGUGAAAAACUCCGGUGGUAUACGAUGGAUCCGCGUCUGAUUAGCUGGUUGGCGGGGUAAAGGCCCACCAAGGCGACGAUCAGUAGCCGGCCUGAGAGGGUGGACGGCCACAUUGGGACUGAGACACGGCCCAAACUCCUACGGAAGGCAGCAG